AUUGAACGCUGGCGGCAGGCCUAACACAUGCAAGUCGAACGAGUGGCGGACGGGUGAGUAAUGUCUCGGAAACUGCCCGGUGGAGGGGGAUAACUACUGGAAACGGUAGCUAAUACCGCAUACCAUCAGAUGUGCCCAGAUGGGAUUAGCUUGUUGGGGGGGUAAAGGCUCACCAAGGCGAAGAUCCCUAGCUGGUCUGAGAGGAUGACCAGCCACACUGGAACUGAGACACGGGCCAGACUCCUACGGGAGGCAGCAGUGGGGAAUAUUGCACAAUGGGGGAAAGCCUGAUACAGCCAUGCCGCGUGUAUGAAGAAGGCCUUCGGGUUGUAAAGUACUUUCGGCGGGGAGGCGUUACCCUCAGAAGAAGCACCGGCUAACUCCGUGCCAGCAGCCGCGGUAAUUC
This 406-nucleotide ribosomal RNA is filed under the name uncultured bacterium. RNAcentral describes it as "partial 16S ribosomal RNA". It matches the Rfam family "Bacterial small subunit ribosomal RNA", at positions 30 to 526 of the family's 1533-position model. The record is from RNAcentral.